CAUGGUCAAGGUGCAUCUUUUGCCUCCCUGUUCUCCCUCUUCUCCUUACAUCUGCAGAGAAGCUGGACACACUGGUGGCUGUGGGAGGCUAGUGGAUUAUUAAAACUGGGGCCCAUCCCCCCAGGACCCCUUCACUUGCCAGCCAAGCCAACUACCUUUCUCCUCCUGUGGCUGUAUCUCCCAAAAUUGUUGAUAUCGCAUUUUCAUGUACCAGGAAAGUGAUUUAUCCCUCCUGAGUGAAAACAGAUCUUCCCCCAAAUCUGCCUGUCCUAGUAAAUGCUCAAGUACAAUAAUUAUGUUUAUUAAUGAGGAACUAGAAUGAAAAUUCAAAGGGUUCAGUGGAUGGGCAGCACACUACCCUCAGGGUGGGCCAUGGGCUGCCUAUGUUUUUCCAGAUGCCCAGGGGUUGUGUGAGCCCUCUGAAUGCUGACUACUGACUUGCUUGGUAGAAGUCAGUUGGCUUAUUUCUGUUUGGUGACAGCUUAUCUUUUCUGCCUUUUAGGAAACACUGCUAAGGGCCUGGCUACUAAACCUGUGUCCCUUCAUUCUGUUUCUCCAGUGAGUCUUCAGCCUCAGGGGCUGCUGUGAAGAAGAUGCUGCCGAACCCCUGAGCUGAAGAGCUGUGCACGAGGGGCUCAGGCGGAGGGCAUGCCCCCUGCUCUGCACCAGCACUGGGGCUCUGUCUAUGCUCCAUUUGUGCUGACCAGUCUCAGCCCAGGAGGAAAUCCUGAAGCAUGUUGGGAAUCGGGAAGUGGAAGGAAAGUCAAGGAGACUCUGUGGCUUCUGGACUGGAGCCGUAUAAUAGCUCGGCAGUCUUUAAUGUACACCUCGAAUCUGUGGAAACAUGUACAUAAAUGCUUAGGUAAGUAUAAUACCUUGUUCAUUUGACAUAUUUUACAAUAUGAAUAUGAUGACUCUUCCCAAAUGUGUGGAGUUUUCACCAUAGCACACUAGGCUUAGAGCUAUUUGACAAUAACUUAUUUACACUAUGAAUAAGUUUAGAGUUGAGUUUGCUUAGAAGUUAAGUUAAUGAUAAACAUAUAAUGUAAAAUAUAUGCAUGCAAAUUGGUAUACCUUUUGGGAAGACAAUAUCUAUUAAAAAUUUGCAUAUGUAUACUCUGAUCUGGCAAUCCUACUUCUGGGAAUUUUUCCACUGAAAUAUUCCCACAGUGAUGCUAGAAUAUUGCAUAGGAUGUUUCCUUAAGCAUUGCUUAUAGUGCUGAAUAAUCAAAAAUAAUUCAAGUAUCUUUUUAAAGGAGAUUUGUUAAAUAAAUCAUGCAACAGCUGUAUAGAAGAAUACCAAAAAACUUAAGAGUGGUGAGGCAUUUCUGCAGUUACUGAUAUUGAGAGAUGUCAAAGCAAGGUUACUAUGUGAAAAAGCAAGUAGAAUCUGAUACAAUUCUCUACGGCUGUACAGUCUCAGAAAAGGUCUGUGACAUAUCAGUUCAGUUUAGUCGCUCAGUCAUGUCCGACUCGUGGUGAGCCCAUGGACUGCAGCACAUCAGGCUUNNNNNNNNNNNNNNNNNNNNNNNNNNNNNNNNNNNNNNNNNNNNNNNNNNNNNNNNNNNNNNNNNNNNNNNNNNNNNNNNNNNNNNNNNNNNNNNNNNNNUUCUAGUGAAACAGUUCAGUUCAGUUGCUCAAUCAUGUCCAACUCUUUGUGACCCCAUGGACUGCAGCAUGCCAGGCUUCAUUGUCCAGCACCAAAUUCCGGAGCUUGCUUGAAUUCACUUCCAUUGAGUUGGUGAUGCCAUCCAACCAUCUCAUCCACUGUCAUCCCCUCUCCUCCUGCCUUCAGUCUUUCCCAGCAUCAGGGUCUUUUCCAAUGAAUCAGUUUUUUGCAUUGGGUGGCCAAAGUAUUGGAGUUUUAGCUUUAGGAUCAGUCUUUCCAAUGAAUAUUCAGGACUGAUUUCCUUUAGGAUUGACUGGUUUGAUCUCCAGGCAGUCCUAGGGACUCUCUAGAGUCUUCUCCAAGACCACAGUUCAAAAGCAUCAAUUCUUCAGUGCUCAGCUUUCUUUAUAGUCUAACUCUCACAUCCACACAUGACCACUGGAAAAACCACAGCUUUGACUAGAUGGACCUUUGUUGGCAAAGCAACGUCUCUGCUUUUCAAUAUGCUGUCUGGGUUGGUCAUAGUUUUUCUUUCAAGUAGCAAGCAUCUUUUAAUUUCAUGGCUGC
This 2176-nucleotide long non-coding RNA is filed under the name Ovis aries (sheep). RNAcentral describes it as "lncRNA (ENSOARG00000026716.1)". Lineage: Eukaryota; Metazoa; Chordata; Mammalia; Artiodactyla; Bovidae. The record is from RNAcentral.